GACAACAUGGCUCAGUGGUAAGAGCACUGAUGUUGUAAACCACGGGUCGUGAGUUCAAUCCACACUGGUGGCU
Non-coding RNA from Araneus ventricosus, 73 nucleotides. Lineage: Eukaryota; Metazoa; Arthropoda; Arachnida; Araneae; Araneidae. The record is from the annotation of a GenBank genome assembly.